AAUGAAGCUAGAAAGAGCAUCUCCAGCUCCAACAUGCAUAUCUGCCAAAUCUGACCAAUCAAUGGAUCGACCCAUUACGUUCAGCAAUGGAAUGAAGCUAGAAAGAGCAUCUCCAGCUCCAACAUGCAUAUCUGCCAAAUCUGACCAAUCAAUGGAUCGACCCAUUAUGUUCAGCAAUGGCAUGAUGCUAGAAAGAGCAUCUCCAGCUCCAACAUGCAUAUCUGCCAAAUCUGACCAAUCAAUGGAUCGACCCAUUAUGUUC
Molecule: non-coding RNA, 262 nt
Organism: Electrophorus electricus (electric eel)
Lineage: Eukaryota; Metazoa; Chordata; Actinopteri; Gymnotiformes; Gymnotidae
Source: RefSeq, a predicted model, not a curated record